UACGUAGGGGGCGAGCGUUGUCCGGAAUUACUGGGCGUAAAGAGAGCGUAGGCGGCACUACAAGUCUCAUGUGAAAUACCCGGGCUUAACUUGGGGGUUGCAUGGGAAACUGUAGAGCUUGAGUACAGGAGAGGCAAGCGGAAUUCCUAGUGUAGCGGUGAAAUGCAUAGAUAUUAGGAGGAACACCAGUGGCGAAGGCGGCUUGCUGGACUGAAACUGACGCUGAGGCUCGAAAGCGUGGGGAGCAAACAGG
This 253-nucleotide ribosomal RNA is filed under the name uncultured bacterium. RNAcentral describes it as "partial 16S ribosomal RNA". It matches the Rfam family "Bacterial small subunit ribosomal RNA", at positions 524 to 776 of the family's 1533-position model. The record is from RNAcentral.